UUUUCCCUGCGGUCCAUACUCCAUAAAGACGCAGAAAACUUUUGAGGGGCCUUCCUGCAAAAUUACCUGAACCACAUGGUCCACAUCUAAACCCUACCAAACCCUAACUGCAACAUCUGCUUCUUCCCCGGCCCUCUCCUUCGCCGUCCCUCCCCGUCGCUGCCACCGCAAGUGCUCUCUCUCUCUCUCUCUCUCUCUCUCUCAUAGGUACUUUUCCUCUCCUUUUCCCCUCACUCAUCGCCUCAUUUGAGAGAUGUAAUGAAAUAUGUUUAGUAAAUUAUUUCUUUACUUGCGAAAGAGGAGUUAUAUGUUAAUUGCACGACGUGAUAACGUUAUGCUAGUGUACUAUUAGGGUUGGGGAUUUUUAUUGGUUUGCUUGUGCUUUCCUGCUUCUCUGUAGUUGGCUUUUUUAUCGUUAUCCAGUGUUAAUGAGUUUCGAUUCCAUGUUGUUGUUAUUGUUGUUAUUAUUACUUUGGUUUAGACAUAUACUUGGCUACAUACUUGAGCAUUUCGAUCAAGUAGCAUAUGAACAUGUUUGUGAGCUUAUUGCGGAUUGAAUGGGUUUAAUUUGUAUCUGUUUGACACCCUACU
Molecule: long non-coding RNA, 591 nt
Filed under: Ananas comosus (pineapple)
Lineage: Eukaryota; Viridiplantae; Streptophyta; Magnoliopsida; Poales; Bromeliaceae
Description: long non-coding RNA (ACOM_LNC014316)
Source: RNAcentral